GCCGAUCGGAAUUAAUAAGGCAAACAAUAAAUAUAGUAUAUGUGUUUAAAGAAUGAAGGAGACAAGGUUAUGAAAAGGGAGGAUCUUUGUUCUGUGUUAUGAGUUGAGGGGGGGAGAUUUAAAAAUGGAGUAGAGAGAGAAAGAGGAGAGAGAGAGAGUGGUUUACAGCAAGGGGGGGGAUUGGAGGAGCAGAGUUGAAUAAAAAUAGGUGAAAGUUGAAACAGUGAGAACUACUAUAGUAUCCUAGUGAGAGAGAGAGAGAGAGAGAGAGAGA
This 274-nucleotide long non-coding RNA is filed under the name Erythranthe guttata (spotted monkey flower). Its description in RNAcentral is "long non-coding RNA (EGUT_LNC000010)". Lineage: Eukaryota; Viridiplantae; Streptophyta; Magnoliopsida; Lamiales; Phrymaceae. The record is from RNAcentral.